RNAcentral lists this transfer RNA (66 nucleotides) under Septifer bilocularis. Its description in RNAcentral is "tRNA-Asp". The record is from RNAcentral. Lineage: Eukaryota; Metazoa; Mollusca; Bivalvia; Mytilida; Mytilidae.
AACAAAAUAGUUAAUUUAUAAUAUAAAAUUGUCAAUUUUAAGUUACUUUUAAUAAAGUUUUUGUUU